RNAcentral lists this small RNA (159 nucleotides) under Desulfofundulus kuznetsovii. RNAcentral's name for it is "Desulfotomaculum kuznetsovii c-di-AMP sequence". It matches the Rfam family "c-di-AMP riboswitch aptamer (ydaO/yuaA leader)". Rfam says of the family: This family represents a conserved RNA structure found upstream of the ydaO and yuaA genes in Bacillus subtilis and related genes in other bacteria. The ydaO/yuaA element is thought to act as a genetic "off" switch for the ydaO and yuaA genes in its native state. Lineage: Bacteria; Bacillati; Bacillota; Clostridia; Eubacteriales; Peptococcaceae. The record is from RNAcentral.
AACUUUUGCAGGCCGAAGCUUCUUGUCAGAGGCGCGGGGGAACCAUCCUUUGGGGCGAAUUUCCGGCAGGUUAUUCAACCACCUCAACAUCCUGCCGGGAUAGGGCAAACCCGAGUCCGAGCCCGUCAGCUAACUCCGCAGGCUAUUACGGGUCCUAGG